GCUACUUGAAGAAGAUGAAAGAAGUCAAUAUUCGGUGAGAUCGGUUAAAAUUGGUCCUUCUUAAAAGUCUUUGCUCCAUUCUCAUUAUACGACAACGAGCAAAGAGGGGCAGCUGUAGUAGGCCCAAUUUAGCCCGGGCCCAAGACCAAAUACAAAUAAUAAAUAAAACCAAAAAAUAAAUAAAAAGUCUAAAUACCAAGCCCAAACUUAUAAACCCCAAUACCAAACCCAAUAACCAAAAAAAAAACCUAACAACCCACUAGCCCACUAUCUUAACAUUUCAGCAAAAAAUAAGCCCUAGCCCAUAACCCUCUUCAGCCGCCGCUCUUAGCUGCCACCACGCACGCCACCACCGCCGCACGCCAACCUCCACGCACCUAGUACCUUCAAACAAGAAAAAAAAAGCACAACAGACACAGAGGCAAAAAGAAACAGUAGCAAAAACAAACAAAAUAUUGUAACGAAAUGUAUUUUCG
This 476-nucleotide long non-coding RNA is filed under the name Gossypium raimondii (Peruvian cotton). Its description in RNAcentral is "long non-coding RNA (GRAI_LNC003594)". Lineage: Eukaryota; Viridiplantae; Streptophyta; Magnoliopsida; Malvales; Malvaceae. The record is from RNAcentral.